UAGCUUUAUUGGAUGAGGCUGAGCAUGAUAUCAAGAAUUAUUCAGACCUCGGUCAAUGUUAUCCGCCUCAGCUUCGCUUCGGCAGAUAACAUUGACCUCGGUCUGAAUAAUUCUUGAUAUCAUGCUCAGCCUCAUCCAAUCAAUAA
Molecule: microRNA precursor, 146 nt
Filed under: Paramuricea clavata
Lineage: Eukaryota; Metazoa; Cnidaria; Anthozoa; Malacalcyonacea; Plexauridae
Source: RNAcentral